This 69-nucleotide transfer RNA is filed under the name Ampulex compressa. RNAcentral's name for it is "tRNA-Gly". Lineage: Eukaryota; Metazoa; Arthropoda; Insecta; Hymenoptera; Ampulicidae. The record is from RNAcentral.
AUUUAUAUAGUAUAAUAUUAUUAUAUUUAAUUUCCAAUUAAAAGAUUUAAAAAAGUUUUAAUAUAAAUA